AAUUUUAGCGGAGAGUUUGAUCCUGGCUCAGGAUGAACGUUGGCGGCGUGCCUAAUACAUGCAAGUCGAACGGAGAUUGUAGCAAUACGGUCUCAGUGGCGAACGGGUGAGUAACGCGUUGGUGACCUGCCCCGAAGUG
This 139-nucleotide ribosomal RNA is filed under the name Chloroflexota bacterium. RNAcentral describes it as "Chloroflexi bacterium (anaerobic digester metagenome) partial 16S ribosomal RNA". It matches the Rfam family "Bacterial small subunit ribosomal RNA", at positions 1 to 138 of the family's 1533-position model. The record is from RNAcentral. Lineage: Bacteria; Bacillati; Chloroflexota.